UGCAGUCGCACGGGCGGAGGUUUCGGCCUUUGUCAGUGGCGGACGGGUGAGUAACGCGUAGGUAUCUGUCCUGGGGUGGGGGAUAACCGUGGGAAACUACGGCUAAUACCGCAUGACACCUGAGGGUCAAAGCUCGUGAGAGCGCCUGAGGAGGAGCCUGCGUCCGAUUAGCUAGUUGGUGGGGUAAAGGCCUACCAAGGCGAUGAUCGGUAGCUGGUCUGAGAGGAUGAUCAGCCACACUGGGACUGAGACACGGCCCAGACUCCUACGGGAGGCAGCAGUGGGGAAUAUUGGACAAUGGGCGCAAGCCUGAUCCAGCAAUGCCGCGUGGGUGAAGAAGGUCUUCGGAUUGUAAAGCCCUUUCGGCGGGGACGAUGAUGACGGUACCCGCAGAAGAAGCCCCGGCUAACUUCGUGCCAGCAGCCGCGGUAAUACGAAGGGGGCUAGCGUUGCUCGGAAUGACUGGGCGUAAAGGGCGCGUAGGCGGUGGCUACAGUCAGGCGUGAAAUUCCUGGGCUUAACCUGGGGGCUGCGUUUGAUACGUAGUGGCUAGAGUGGGGAAGAGGGUCGUGGAAUUCCCAGUGUAGAGGUGAAAUUCGUAGAUAUUGGGAAGAACACCGGUGGCGAAGGCGGCGACCUGGUCCUUGACUGACGCUGAGCGCGAAAGCGUGGGGAGCAAACAGGAUUAGAUACCCUGGUAGUCCACGCUGUAAACGAUGUGCGCUGGAUGUUGGGCGGCCUAGCCGUUCAGUGUCGUAGCUAACGCGAUAAGCGCACCGCCUGGGGAGUACGG
Molecule: ribosomal RNA, 793 nt
Filed under: uncultured Acetobacteraceae bacterium
Lineage: Bacteria; Pseudomonadati; Pseudomonadota; Alphaproteobacteria; Acetobacterales; Acetobacteraceae
Description: bacterial SSU rRNA
Rfam family: Bacterial small subunit ribosomal RNA
Source: RNAcentral